GGAGAGAUGGCCGAGUCGGCUGAAGGCGCUCGCCUGCUAAGCGAGUAUACGGCUAAUACCUGUAUCGAGGGUUCGAAUCCCUCUCUCUCCGCCA
RNAcentral lists this transfer RNA (94 nucleotides) under Bacillota bacterium. RNAcentral's name for it is "tRNA-Ser". It matches the Rfam family "tRNA". From Rfam's summary of the family: Transfer RNA (tRNA) molecules are approximately 80 nucleotides in length. Their secondary structure includes four short double-helical elements and three loops (D, anti-codon, and T loops). Further hydrogen bonds mediate the characteristic L-shaped molecular structure. tRNAs have two regions of fundamental functional importance: the anti-codon, which is responsible for specific mRNA codon recognition, and the 3' end, to which the tRNAs corresponding amino acid is attached (by aminoacyl-tRNA synthetases). tRNAs cope with the degeneracy of the genetic code in two manners: having more than one tRNA (with a specific anti-codon) for a particular amino acid; and 'wobble' base-pairing, i.e. permitting non-standard base-pairing at the 3rd anti-codon position. Lineage: Bacteria; Bacillati; Bacillota. The record is from RNAcentral.